AACGAACGCUGGCGGCGUGCUUAACACAUGCAAGUCGAGCGGUAAGGCCCUUUCGGGGGUACACGAGCGGCGAACGGGUGAGUAACACGUGGGUGACCUGCCCUCAGCUCUGGGAUAAGCCUGGGAAACCGGGUCUAAUACCGGAUAUGACUCCAUGACGCAUGUUGUGGGGUGGAAAGCCUUGUGCGGCUGAGGAUGGGCCCGCGGCCUAUCAGCUUGUUGGUGGGGNGAUGGCCUACCAAGGCGACGACGGGUAGCCGGCCUGAGAGGGCGACCGGCCACACUGGGACUGAGACACGGCCCAGACUCCUACGGGAGGCAGCAGUGGGGAAUCUUGCGCAAUGGGCGAAAGCCUGACGCAGCGACGCCGCGU
Molecule: ribosomal RNA, 373 nt
Filed under: uncultured bacterium
Lineage: Bacteria
Description: bacterial SSU rRNA
Rfam family: Bacterial small subunit ribosomal RNA
Source: RNAcentral